GAAUCUCACACGGUCGUGAAAUUCUAGCCACUUUUUUGCCUAACGCCAAUCUUCGUCAUCGAGAAAAAUGAUUUGAGGUGUUUAAUUUAGCUUCAAGAUCGUGGACGGAUGCCUUGGUCAAAGUUAAAGAGCAUUGUUGGAGGCUGUUUAAAGAAGAAGCAGAAGCACCACUUAGGUGAAGCAUUUGUAGAUCUGGGCAUGGUAAUUAAGUAAGGUGAGCAUUAGCUAAAUAAUUAAUAAUUAUUAAAUAUUCUCUACUUAUAUGUGAAUUUAUUAAGAAAUUAAUUUGAUUCUUUUUGUUGAAUU
Molecule: long non-coding RNA, 306 nt
Filed under: Citrus sinensis (sweet orange)
Lineage: Eukaryota; Viridiplantae; Streptophyta; Magnoliopsida; Sapindales; Rutaceae
Description: long non-coding RNA (CSIN_LNC004767)
Source: RNAcentral